CCGACCGGCGCACGGGUGAGCAACACGUAUGCAACCUGGCCGCCACAGGGGGAUAACCCGCGGAAACGCGGCCUAAUACCCCGUGACGCCACCGGAGGGCAUCCUCCGGUGGCCAAAGGAGCGAUCCGGUGGCGGAUGGGCAUGCGGCGCAUUAGCUAGACGGCGGGGUGACGGCCCACCGUGGCGACGAUGCGUAGGGGUUCUGAGAGGAAGGCCCCCCACACUGGGACUGAGACACGGCCCAGACUCCUACGGAAGGCAGCAG
RNAcentral lists this ribosomal RNA (265 nucleotides) under uncultured bacterium. Its description in RNAcentral is "partial 16S ribosomal RNA". It matches the Rfam family "Bacterial small subunit ribosomal RNA", at positions 91 to 354 of the family's 1533-position model. The record is from RNAcentral.